RNAcentral lists this long non-coding RNA (264 nucleotides) under Mytilus galloprovincialis (Mediterranean mussel). The record is from RNAcentral. Lineage: Eukaryota; Metazoa; Mollusca; Bivalvia; Mytilida; Mytilidae.
GCUGCAUGUUUAUUAAAAUUAAAAAAAUUGCGCUAUUUACAGUUUUAUAAAAUUUGGGUCACAUAAUCUCCUUGCUAAUGAAACAAAUUGCUAUUUUAAAAAAUAGGGGUCCAUGCACUCGUUUUCAAAUUAAAUCAGUUUGAAUGAUAAAAAUCAGUCGAAAAAUGCAUCUUUUCCCAAUAUGUCAUAGUUUGACGUCGCGAAAAUAACAUUUUACGUUAGCAACGUCAUUACCUUCCCUGUAACUGUAUCGUAUGCCCUUAA